GUGGUGAGACGCAGGGGCAGAGCCCUUUGUAAUGAUCAGGGCCGUCACAGCCAAUGGCUUGCGUCUCCACCUUAUUUAUUCUGAGGUAGCUUUUUGUGUCGGGAGGUGCCACAAUUUGUCUCCUCGUUAUUUCCUGCUACGCCCCUCCAGGCAACUUGCUACCGCACUUGUGCCUGUUGCUUGCUGGUGCCUGCUGGUGCCCUGCCUUGGUUGGUGAUGCGUGCAGGUUGUUGAUCGCGUAACAGUCUCGGUGUGGAUUCCAACCGAAUGCUAACAUUCAGCGGUGCGCUGUGAGCCGCUGGCUUAAGUAGGAAGUUGCCAACUUCCUGGUACUGCCGAUUGUGUCGUUGCCGACUGCUGUUUUUGCCACCCGUUGUUUACCACCAAAGCUGCCCAACUGUCCUGGGCUAGCCUGGAGGAUAGCGGCGAAGACGCCAACGACCACUAUCUGAACGUGAUCUGUCUGUUGACUUGUCCUUGUGUGUUUCCACCUGUCCGUGUCGCAACUAGUGUGUGUCGGUGUGUGUGUAGAGUGUUGGCGAGUGCGUGCGUGUUUGUCCUGGGCUAGCCUGGAGGAUAGCGGCGAAGACGCUAACGACCACUCUUUGAACGUGAUCUGUCUGUUGACUUGUCCUUGUGUGUUUCCAUCUGCCCGUGUCGCAACUAGUGUGUGACGGUGUGUGUGUGUGUAGAGUGUUGGCGAGUGCGUGCGUGUUUGUCCUGGGGAAGUGUUUGGUUUAAUUUGGGGGAUUUUGUUUAUAGUUUAUCACGCAUGUUUAAGAUCCUUUUUGGCCUGGUUCGUGUGUUUGUUAUAUUUUGUUUUCUUACUGAUUUCCUUUUUGUGAAUUACAUUUUGUGUAGUUGUGUUUAUUGUUUUGUUUGGUCGUUUGUAUCUACCCUCAUCUCUCUUUUGUUCCUUCGUUUCCAGGCGCUGAGUGCCCACCGCAGGGAGGCAACUAGAUCCUUUAGGUGGUGGUGCCACCUUCCCGAGUGUGGUUUCACGUGUGUCCUCUUGGAAUUUCUCUUUUAUCAUUUUGAUCCUGUGUUGCUGUGUGUAUGUGCGAGCACGAGUGACUGGUUGGUGUUUAUGUGUCUCCCCCCUCCGUCUCCUGGUAUCUUGCCCCCCCUGCUGGUAAGCCUCAGCCCUAACCAUCCUGUCUAUCCCCUACAUACCAAUUGAUUUCAUUUAUCCUGUUUGUUACAUGUGGAACACACAUGUUUUAGUUAAUAAAAACAACCUAUUUUUGGAACUUCGUCUCUGGUGCCGUCAGUCAACGAACGUGUGUGCUAUAUAAUUGUUUGGAUUUAAUUGAUUAGUAUAUCCCUGGGUGCAAUCCCUAGGGUGGCGUUGUCGUUUAGCUUGUUUUUUCCCCUUAAUGCCA
Molecule: long non-coding RNA, 1382 nt
Organism: Gadus macrocephalus (Pacific cod)
Lineage: Eukaryota; Metazoa; Chordata; Actinopteri; Gadiformes; Gadidae
Exons: 3
Source: RefSeq, a predicted model, not a curated record